RNAcentral lists this ribosomal RNA (253 nucleotides) under uncultured bacterium. RNAcentral describes it as "partial 16S ribosomal RNA". It matches the Rfam family "Bacterial small subunit ribosomal RNA", at positions 524 to 776 of the family's 1533-position model. The record is from RNAcentral.
UACGAGAGGCCCAAACGUUAUUCGGAAUUACUGGGCUUAAAGAGUUCGUAGGCGGCAUGAAAAGUAGGGUGUGAAAGCCCUCGGCUCAACCGAGGAAUUGCGCUCUAAACUGUCGUGCUCGAGGAAUCUAGAGGUGAGCGGAACUGAUGGUGGAGCGGUGAAAUGCGUUGAUAUCAUCAGGAGCACCGGAGGCGAAGGCGGCUCACUGGGGAUUUUCUGACGCUGAGGAACGAAAGCCAGGGGAGCGAACGGG